AGAGAGAGACAUGCGCGCAUAUCAAUAAGCGGAGGAAAAGAAACUAACUAGGAUUCCCUCAGUAACGGCGAGUGAAGCGGGAAGAGCUCAAAUUUGAAAUCUUCAAGGUUCUACCUUGACGAAUUGUAGUUUAAAGAAGUGUUUUCUGUUGGAGUUUUGGUAAAAGUUCUUUGGAAUAGGACAUCAUAGAGGGUGAGAAUCCCGUAUUUGACCAUUAUUUCCAGCUUUGUGAUACACUUUCAAAGAGUCGGAUUGUUUGGGAAUGCAGUCCAAAAUGGGUGGUAAAUUUCAUCUAAAGCUAAAUAUUGGCGAGAGACCGAUAGCGAACAAGUACCGCGAGGGAAAGAUGAAAAGAACUUUGAAAAGAGAGUUAAACAGUACGUGAAAUUGUCAAAAGGGAAGCGUUUGACACCAGUGUUGUUUUCUCGAAAAUCAAUUAAAAAGAGUUAGAUUUUGUUGUGUAUUGACCUUAACAGCUUGCAUUUCAAUUUUCUUGCUUUUUUUAAUGCACUUUUCGUUUAACAAGUCAACAUCAGUUUCUUUUGUUGUAAAAAGGUCAUUGGAAGGUGGCUUUCUUUUCGGAGAAAGUGUUUAUAGCCUUUGGCCUCUGCAACCGGAGAGAUUGAGGUCUGCAGCGUAGAUCCUUCGGGGUUAGAUACAUUUGUGCUAAGUUAUAGCCUUUCAUAGACAACUUGUUGACUAUGAUCAGUCAUGUAGCUUACUCGCUUAUGCUAUUUUACCUACGCUUAGGAUGUUGAUGUGAUACUGCGAGC
This 773-nucleotide ribosomal RNA is filed under the name uncultured Neocallimastigales. RNAcentral's name for it is "partial large subunit ribosomal RNA". It matches the Rfam family "Eukaryotic large subunit ribosomal RNA", at positions 23 to 645 of the family's 3401-position model. The record is from RNAcentral. Lineage: Eukaryota; Fungi; Neocallimastigomycota; Neocallimastigomycetes; Neocallimastigales.